This 254-nucleotide long non-coding RNA is filed under the name Elaeis guineensis (African oil palm). Its description in RNAcentral is "long non-coding RNA (EGUI_LNC024111)". Lineage: Eukaryota; Viridiplantae; Streptophyta; Magnoliopsida; Arecales; Arecaceae. The record is from RNAcentral.
UCAUCACUCUCUCUCAUAUUUGAUUGACUACACAAAAAAUGAUUCCUUCAAGUACAUCACAAAUAUUUCUUGCAAAACUCCAACAGCAAAACAUUACUUUAAGCUGCACUACACCAGACUCGAGUUCAACCAUCUCGCAUCAUUUCUAUGUUUACUAUUAUGUGAUCCUAUAUUCAAUUGUUACAUUGCAAGCAUGGCUCUUCCUAAAAUCAUGCUCGAGUCUUUGCUUAAACUCAAUGCUUCAUCCACUUACC